GACGGUUUUUUGGGAGUUUGAGAGGUAGUGGGAGUGUGGUAGACUGUUUUUAGGAGAAAAAUAAGGGAUUAAGGGUGGUUAUCGGAUAUUCUGUUAGUCUUUUCUUUUUAUUUUUUUCCCAAAAAAAAUCUGCACGUUUUCCCUUCCAUUCUCCCUGCCGAAUUCUCCUCUGCCAUUUUUCUUUUUCUUUUUUUGUUAGCAAAUCCCUUUUUCUUCCUUUUAUUGUUUUGACCAAGAUGUGUCUCUUUAUUCGGGAUUCUAUUUGAUCUUUGCGUUUUUCCCCGUUUGGUAAGUGGCUUAAGUUAUUGUAGUUUUGGCAUUCAAUUAUCGACUAAAGGUUGUGGUUUUCUGUUUUGGACAGCAGACAAUCGAGAAGAAUGAAGCCUUCCUCGUGUCACCUCGUAAUUAAAAUCACUAAGGGUGUUAGGGUAAGCAUUGGUCG
This 442-nucleotide long non-coding RNA is filed under the name Gossypium raimondii (Peruvian cotton). RNAcentral's name for it is "long non-coding RNA (GRAI_LNC007389)". The record is from RNAcentral. Lineage: Eukaryota; Viridiplantae; Streptophyta; Magnoliopsida; Malvales; Malvaceae.